RNAcentral lists this unclassified non-coding RNA (367 nucleotides) under Hevea brasiliensis (rubber tree). The record is from RNAcentral. Lineage: Eukaryota; Viridiplantae; Streptophyta; Magnoliopsida; Malpighiales; Euphorbiaceae.
AUAAUCUAAUAAUUUGUGUGAUUUGACUUGUUCCUUUUCUUGUAUAGAUACAGCUCUUAGGAAAUGAAAUUAGGUGAAUGUAAGUGCUACCCAUUGGGCUUCUUAGGGAUAUGCUUUUUUACGCUUUGUUGUUUGUUACUUGUAAUGAAAUGUAUCCUAAAUUUAAAUCUUAGAAGAGGAGACAUCUGCCAUAUUACUGAUUUGAUCCUCUCAAUCUUCUUUGUCCCUGAGAUUGAGUUUCAUUAUGUUUUGUUUUUGUUGUAAAAAACAUGGUAUUCGCCAUGUGCUUGACACUUCUUUUCUGCCACCAUUUUUAAGCUCAAGCUUUAACAGCUCUUAAAAAUGGUGGCAGAAAAGAAGUGUCAAG